AUUAAAUAGUUUGUAUUUUUUUAUUUUAACUCUCAACACUGCGUAUUUUUCGGAUCUGUGCUUUCGCAUCUCUGUUCUGAUCUGUUUCCUUCCUGCUGGCUGAGCGCCUUGCCGUCAAUUCAAUUUAUUGUAAUUUGUUGGUUAUGGCGCUGCGACUGCUGCUGCGAGGUUGUCUUCAUCUUAAUUUUCGAAGCAGUCCACUAAUACAUGUCCAGAGCUGUGCGGAAAUGUUUAGUACAGGUAUGCAGGUGAGUUGAAAUUCUAUAUGGUAAGAGGGCUAUCCAGUUGCCGGAUAAUUAUUUACUGAAGUUAUGUGUUGGUUGCAACUGCUUAUCAGUGCAGACCAAAGAUUGUAAAUGUCUUGUAAGUGAUAAAUUGUUACAUUUGUAAAGUAGGCCAGUUGAUGGCAUCAGGGUUGUUUUAUACAAUAUCUUGUAGUUUUGUUUGAAUAAUAAACUUUAAUUUAAUACUUAAA
This is a long non-coding RNA of Trichoplusia ni (cabbage looper), 475 nucleotides long. RefSeq lists it as uncharacterized. The record is from RefSeq and is a predicted model, not a curated record. Lineage: Eukaryota; Metazoa; Arthropoda; Insecta; Lepidoptera; Noctuidae. The transcript has 3 exons.